GGGGUUGUAGCUCAGUGAUGGAGCCCUUGCCUGGCAUGCAUGAGGCACUGGGUUCAAUCCUCAGCACCUCA
RNAcentral lists this transfer RNA (71 nucleotides) under Ictidomys tridecemlineatus (thirteen-lined ground squirrel). RNAcentral's name for it is "Spermophilus tridecemlineatus (thirteen-lined ground squirrel) tRNA". It matches the Rfam family "tRNA". From Rfam's summary of the family: Transfer RNA (tRNA) molecules are approximately 80 nucleotides in length. Their secondary structure includes four short double-helical elements and three loops (D, anti-codon, and T loops). Lineage: Eukaryota; Metazoa; Chordata; Mammalia; Rodentia; Sciuridae. The record is from Rfam by way of RNAcentral.